CCAAUAUACAAAAUGGAAGACGUGGUAUGAUUGCCAAUGAGACAACUGUUCGAGUUAUCCACCAUACGGCCUUGAACAAUGAGUUAAAUCCAUACCGCAUAGUUAGGUAUAAAAAGCCCCGAAAUGGCAAAUGUAAAACAAUUCAAACGAAAAAAAUCCUGAUAUAUGUACAAAACGAUGAACGAAAAACACAAUUAUAUAUAGCAAAACACAACAUCCACUGAAUUACAGACACCUGAUUUGGGACACGCACAUGUAGAAUGGCAAGGUUAAACUAGUUUUCCUCUUACUAAUCUUGGACAUGUGGUCAGCAAACUGUAAAAAUCAGUCGGGGCUUAUCCUUAUAAACUAAGGUUACAUCAAACAGUCUAAAUUAGAAUAAAUGCUGAAAGUUUGAUUUCAGUAUAUACACAAUGGUGC
RNAcentral lists this long non-coding RNA (420 nucleotides) under Mytilus galloprovincialis (Mediterranean mussel). Lineage: Eukaryota; Metazoa; Mollusca; Bivalvia; Mytilida; Mytilidae. The record is from RNAcentral.